Mustela erminea (ermine) is the source of this 2229-nucleotide long non-coding RNA. RefSeq lists it as uncharacterized. The record is from RefSeq and is a predicted model, not a curated record. NCBI's taxonomy places the organism in Eukaryota, Metazoa, Chordata, Mammalia, Carnivora, Mustelidae. The transcript has 5 exons.
AGUCAUAAAAGUUCAAAGAUACUCCGAAAACUUGCAUCUUUCGAUUGAUGGACAAAUGUGUUAACCAAUAGAAACCAAAACUCAGGCAUUACUUCAUCAUGCUAAAUUAUCAUUGGCUGCCAGUUCCCGAGGGCCGGACCGCAGGGCUGGCGGUUAACCCUUUCAGGGACGAUUUGUGCCCUCGACAUUAAUUUUAUUUUGAAAGAUGAAGUAGGAACAGAUGAAAAGCCCAGAAAGGUCCUCAGACCUUCAAGUGUCGUCGCCUUUGGCUCUCACCCCAGCAGAUCUGGUGAGCUAGAGGACCUUGGACAAGGUGCCCAAACCGAGCCUCCGUUAUCCCAUCUAUAAAAUGGGGGCCAUGUCUACCGUCUGAGUUCUAUGAGGAUUCAAUGAACCAGUGUUCUACAACUGGGCGGCUGACUGCAUCCCGGGUCCACGUGAUCUGCUGGGCAGAAACCGAGAGAGUCAGCUGUCAUCGCCCGCAGCUGAGGCCUGAGAACGCGCACCCUGCGUGCUAGCCGCAGGGUCUGGGAGACCGCUAUCUGCACCGUGCGCCUUGACAUCAACCUCUGCAUCCGUGUCUCCCACCGCGAAUCGUGCUUAAUGUCUGCCCUGGGCAUGGCAAGGACCCGUCAGCAUAACUUCGCAAGUCCUCACUCGCCUGGGUCAACUUACCUGCCUGCGCGGACAGCUGGAUGCUCCUAUAGGGUUGGAAAGUUGGAUGUUCCUACCAGAGUCCCGACUUCUCAGCCUGGGAGCUGUGUGCUGUGGGAUGACAACGCCACAAAGCAGCAAUUUUAAUCUCUUUUGUCCACCUCUGUAACCCCACACAUGUCAAUUAGAGCUUGGCCCUCGAGAGUCUCAAUAAAAUAUUUGUUGAAUAAAUGAAUGGAUGAUAUAAAGUGACUGGCGCUCAGUAAGUACCCCAUCAUGGGGUAGCUAUUGCUAAUUUAUUAUUGUGAUUAAAUACUCUGUCUCGGGAAUCCAACUGAAAGCAGUAUACUUAGGGAGGGAGAAAUUUAGCAUCAUGUGGAAUGCUGGCAUUCUGGCUGGGAAAUCCUGUCGACUCCAUUUACUAGUUGUGUGAUCUGGAAGAAGUGACUUCACUUUUCUAAGGCUGUUUCCUCACCUGUAAAAUGGAGAUAAUCACAGUACCUCCCAGGUAGGAUGCAAAGGUAGGAUAAGAUGGUAACGGUAAAGCAUUUAAUAGAGUUCCUGCCACAUAAUGAAUGCUCAAUAAACAAUGAUCAGCAUUCCUCAUUAUAGUAGUACUCCUCACACUAGAGGUGACAUCCAAGUCAAUUAAACCAUUGCUAAGCACUCACAUAUGUCCGGGUCCAGCAGGCUCAAUAAAUGUUUAUUGACCUCCCUCCGUGAGCUCCUCAAGGAAAGAGAUUGUGCUUACAUUGUCCUGAUUUUGGCCUGCAGUAGAUAGACUGAGACAUGCUCAAAAAAUCACAUUCUGGACUCAAAUAUGAGUAAAAACCUAGAACAGCUACUAGAAUCAUAAUGCCCGUGGCCUACUAGGCGCCAGGCACGGUGUUGGAUGCUGGAGAUAUGGCAAAGCUUAAAACAAACAUGGCGGCUACUCCUUUCAGGCUGGUGAAAUUUAGCAGAGUUGACUGACUUUGUGUCGAUCGUUGCACAGACAGACGGAACAUUGCAACUGAGAAGUGUAGCACAACAGAGAGGGGCACAAGGCUCUCGAGUAUAUAAUGUGGGCCUGGAGAAGAUGGGGUUGACCUGGGCUGGGCUUGAGGAGGGAAGAGCUGAGCGCUGCAGAAAGAAGAGGUCUUAGCUAAGCUGAGGGUAGGGGAAGUGUUCUCAGCAGAAAAAUCAGCAGAUGCGAAGGUCUCGUGAUGGGGGAAGCAUACGAGCUAAAGGAACUGAAAGAAGGCCUAGUGACCCCAGUACAGUGAGCUGAGGACAGGGCCCCGGGGAGAAAUCAACUGGGAAAGUAAGUCAGCACUUUGGAAAUUAAGUGGGCCACGUAUAUGGUAAAGCAGAAAAAGUGCGCAACCUAGGAUCCAACAGUUCCAGUUCUAGGAACAUUCUAGAAAAACAGCCACAAGGGCCCCGAGAGGCAUGAGCGAGGAUGUCAGCCCGUGCUGCAUUAUAUGCAGUCUCAAAAAAAUGGGAAACAACCCAACUGUUUGUCAACAGGAGAGUGGUAAAAAUUGCAGAAUAUGUUUUCCUCAGAUUCCUCAGGAAAGUCUGAAUGAAAAGUUA